CCUACGGGAGGCAGCAGUGGGGAAUAUUGCACAAUGGGGGAAACCCUGAUGCAGCGACGCCGCGUGGAGGAAGAAGGUCUUUCGGAUUGUAAACUCCUGUUGUUGAGGAAGAUAAUGACGGUACUCAACAAGGAAGUGACGGCUAACUACGUGCCAGCAG
RNAcentral lists this ribosomal RNA (160 nucleotides) under uncultured bacterium. Its description in RNAcentral is "partial 16S ribosomal RNA". It matches the Rfam family "Bacterial small subunit ribosomal RNA", at positions 338 to 514 of the family's 1533-position model. The record is from RNAcentral.